CUUCACACCACUAUUGUUGGAGUGUUUUCUUGUUUGACAGAACAUGAUGUGGAAUCUUAGAUAGUCACAGCUAAAGUCUGGUUGGGGUUUCUAUUCUUUGUUUGAGCUGACAAAAGACCAAAUUUAAGUGAAAAAGGCAAUUGAAGCAUGUGCACGCACGCAUGCGCGUGCACACACGCAUAUAUAUAGGGGGAUUGGAUGUUUUUAUGAAACUCACUUGCAUAGUUAUUAAAGGCUCAAGGCGCACUAAGGCGCCAAGUGAUCCUAGAGCCUAGGUGCAAGGCGCAAGGUGAAGGCGCACGGCUGAGCAAAAUGAGGCG
This 320-nucleotide unclassified non-coding RNA is filed under the name Hevea brasiliensis (rubber tree). The record is from RNAcentral. Lineage: Eukaryota; Viridiplantae; Streptophyta; Magnoliopsida; Malpighiales; Euphorbiaceae.